GAGUUUGAUCCUGGCUCAGAAUCAACGCUGGCGGCGUGCCUAACACAUGCAAGUCGAACGCGAAAGGGGCUUCGGUCCUGAGUAGAGUGGCGAACGGGUGAGUAACACGUGGGUGAUCUACCUUCAAGUGGGGGAUAACGUUCCGAAAGGAACGCUAAUACCGCAUGAUGUCCUGGGUUUAAAGACCUGGAGACCAAAGCCGGGGACCGCAAGGCCUGGCGCUAGAAGAGGAGCCCGCGUCCGAUUAGGUAGUUGGUGGGGUAAAGGCCUACCAAGCCGACGAUCUGUAGCUGGUCUGAGAGGACGACCAGCCACACUGGGACUGAGACACGGCCCAGACUCCUACGGGAGGCAGCAGUGGGGAAUUUUGGACAAUGGACGCAAGUCUGAUCCAGCCAUGCCGCGUGCGGGAAGAAGGCCUCGGUUGU
Molecule: ribosomal RNA, 428 nt
Filed under: uncultured beta proteobacterium
Lineage: Bacteria; Pseudomonadati; Pseudomonadota; Betaproteobacteria
Description: bacterial SSU rRNA
Rfam family: Bacterial small subunit ribosomal RNA
Source: RNAcentral